AAGUCUGAAACUUUCGCUACCCAGUUCUCAUCUACAAGGAUGUUAGUUGUUUUUACGUCUCUGUGUAUAAUCGUGUACUUUGCUCCUGUGUGAAGGUAAUGUAGUCCUCUUGCAGCUCCAAUAGCGAUCUCUAGCCUUCGUUUCCAAGUUAAUUGUGGUUUCUUUGUGUUGUAUAGAUGUUCACGGAGUGUUCCAAAAGCCAUGUAAUCGUAUAUGAGACACAUUUCGCCUCCGUCGUCGCAGUAUCCUAUCAAGGAGACCAAGUGUUUGUGUCUUAAUCU
Molecule: long non-coding RNA, 281 nt
Filed under: Arabidopsis lyrata
Lineage: Eukaryota; Viridiplantae; Streptophyta; Magnoliopsida; Brassicales; Brassicaceae
Description: long non-coding RNA (ALYR_LNC002231)
Source: RNAcentral